Molecule: ribosomal RNA, 424 nt
Filed under: uncultured prokaryote
Description: bacterial SSU rRNA
Rfam family: Bacterial small subunit ribosomal RNA
Source: RNAcentral
UGGGGAAUAUUGGACAAUGGGGGAAACCCUGAUCCAGCAAUGCCGCGUGAGUGAUGAAGGCCUUAGGGUUGUAAAGCUCUUUUACCAGGGAUGAUAAUGACAGUACCUGGAGAAUAAGCUCCGGCUAACUCCGUGCCAGCGGCCGCGGUAAUACGGAGGGAGCUAGCGUUGUUCGGAAUUACUGGGCGUAAAGCGCGCGUAGGCGGUUACUCAAGUCAGGGGUGAAAUCCCGGAGCUCAACUCCGGAACUGCCUUCAAUACUGUCAGUCUAGAGGUCGAGAGAGGUGAGUGGAAUUCCGAGUGUAGAGGUGAAAUUCGUAGAUAUUCGGAGGAACACCAGUGGCGAAGGCGGCUCACUGGCUCGAUACUGACGCUGAGGUGCGAAAGCGUGGGGAGCAAACAGGAUUAGAUACCCCCGUAGUCC